RNAcentral lists this ribosomal RNA (318 nucleotides) under uncultured Paracoccaceae bacterium. Its description in RNAcentral is "bacterial SSU rRNA". It matches the Rfam family "Bacterial small subunit ribosomal RNA", at positions 66 to 414 of the family's 1533-position model. Lineage: Bacteria; Pseudomonadati; Pseudomonadota; Alphaproteobacteria; Rhodobacterales; Paracoccaceae. The record is from RNAcentral.
GCGCACCUUCGGGUGAGCGGCGGACGGGUUAGUAACGCGUGGGAACGUGCCCUUCUCUAAGGAAUAGCCACUGGAAACGGUGAGUAAUACCUUAUACGCCCUUCGGGGGAAAGAUUUAUCGGAGAAGGAUCGGCCCGCGUUAGAUUAGAUAGUUGGUGGGGUAACGGCCUACCAAGUCUACGAUCUAUAGCUGGUUUUAGAGGAUGAUCAGCAACACUGGGACUGAGACACGGCCCAGACUCCUACGGGAGGCAGCAGUGGGGAAUCUUGGACAAUGGGCGCAAGCCUGAUCCAGCCAUGCCGCGUGAGUGAUGAAGG